RNAcentral lists this ribosomal RNA (771 nucleotides) under Meloidogyne mali. RNAcentral's name for it is "partial large subunit ribosomal RNA". It matches the Rfam family "Eukaryotic large subunit ribosomal RNA", at positions 344 to 962 of the family's 3401-position model. Lineage: Eukaryota; Metazoa; Nematoda; Chromadorea; Rhabditida; Meloidogynidae. The record is from RNAcentral.
ACAAGUACCGUGAGGGAAAGUUGCAAAGCACUUUGAAGAGAGAGUUAAAGAGGACGUGAAACCGGUGGGGUGGAAACGGAUAGAGCCGGCGUAUCUGACAUGUAUUCAACCGCUAAACUAUUGCGUUUCGGACUUUGAUCUCCAGAUUGGGCACUGUUCGAUUUGCUGGUAGUGGUGUGGUGCAUUUGCAUGUGGAGUGCGUAGAGGCGUCAGGGAUUGAGGUGUGAUCUCUGUUUUGAGGCCAGCUUGCUGGUACCCGAACUUUGGCAGCACCUUUAGUUCCGGACGUUUUAUUUGCAAGGCCUACGAGCUCUAUUGGGGCUCGAACUGGGGGUCGGUUACGGUCGCAUGCGACACGUGCCGUUCAAUCAGUUCGGUCCUGGUCGAGCUCACGUGCAGUCUCUCUGCGUAAAAGCCGGUCACCUAUCCGACCCGUCUUGAAACACGGACCAAGGAGUUUAUCGUGUGCGCGAGUCAUUGGGCUUUCAAAACUCAAAGACGAAGUGAAAGUGAAUGUCCUCGCAAGAGGCUGACGUGUGAUUCCUACUUUUCGAGGUGGGGAAGCAGCAUGGCCCCAUUCUGACUGCUUGCAGUGGGGUGGAGGAAGAGCGCAUGCGGUGAGACCCGAAAGAUGGUGAACUAUUCCUGAGCAGGAUGAAGCCAGAGGAAACUCUGGUGGAAGUCCGAAGCGGUUCUGACGUGCAAAUCGAUCGUCUGACUUGGGUAUAGGGGCGAAAGACUAAUCGAACCAUCUAGUAGCUGGUUCCUUCC